Myotis davidii is the source of this 367-nucleotide long non-coding RNA. RefSeq lists it as uncharacterized. The transcript has 3 exons. Lineage: Eukaryota; Metazoa; Chordata; Mammalia; Chiroptera; Vespertilionidae. The record is from RefSeq and is a predicted model, not a curated record.
GCAGCCUUCUCUGUAUCCUCCCUGCUAGUGAUGAAAGAAGGACAGCAUCUGGUGGAGAGAAUGGCGGAAGAACUGCAGCCAUAGGUCCUCCCUCUGUGUCAGGGUGCCACAUGUGGAGAUGCUGGCCCAAAGAUGGAGAAGAGGAGGUUUCUAUCCUUGAGAAGUACAAUAUGGGAGAUAGAUAAGUGGAUAAUUAUUUUACAGGAGCUGAGAGCAACCCCUGCUGACAGUCUGCAAGGAAAGGAGAACCUAAAUGAGCCUGGAAGCAGAUACUUCCAAAUAAGAGCCCUGCCCUUGAUUUUGGCCUGUGAAAUUCUAAGAGAACCAAGCCAAGCCUGUCUGGACUUAUGACCUAUAGAGGUGAGCU